AACGAACGCUGGCGGCAGGCUUAACACAUGCAAGUCGAGCGCCCCGCAAGGGGAGCGGCAGACGGGUGAGUAACGCGUGGGAAUCUACCCAUCCCUACGGAACAACUCCGGGAAACUGGAGCUAAUACCGUAUACGCCCUUCGGGGGAAAGAUUUAUCGGGGAUGGAUGAGCCCGCGUUGGAUUUGCUAGUUGGUGGGGUGAAGGCCUACCAAGGCGACGAUCCAUAGCUGGUCUGAGAGGAUGAUCAGCCACAUUGGGACUGAGACACGGCCCAAACUCCUACGGGAGGCAGCAGUGGGGAAUAUUGGACAAUGGGCGCAAGCUUGAUCCAGCCAUGCCGCGUGAGUGAUGAAGGCCUUAGGGUUGUAAAGCUCUUUCACCGGAGAAGAUAAUGACGGUAUCCGGAGAAGAAGCCCCGGCUAACUUCGUGCCAGCCGCCGCAGUAA
This 447-nucleotide ribosomal RNA is filed under the name uncultured bacterium. RNAcentral's name for it is "partial 16S ribosomal RNA". It matches the Rfam family "Bacterial small subunit ribosomal RNA", at positions 29 to 523 of the family's 1533-position model. The record is from RNAcentral.